RNAcentral lists this ribosomal RNA (649 nucleotides) under uncultured bacterium. Its description in RNAcentral is "bacterial SSU rRNA". It matches the Rfam family "Bacterial small subunit ribosomal RNA", at positions 723 to 1395 of the family's 1533-position model. The record is from RNAcentral.
GGCUCACUGGCUCGAUACUGACGCUGAGGUGCGAAAGUGUGGGGAGCAAACAGGAUUAGAUACCCUGGUAGUCCACACCGUAAACGAUGAAUGCCAGUCGUCGGGUAGCAUGCUAUUCGGUGACACACCUAACGGAUUAAGCAUUCCGCCUGGGGAGUACGGUCGCAAGAUUAAAACUCAAAGAAAUUGACGGGGGCCCGCACAAGCGGUGGAGCAUGUGGUUUAAUUCGAAGCAACGCGCAGAACCUUACCAACCCUUGACAUCCUAGGACCGUUCCAGAGAUGGAUCUUUCACUUCGGUGACCUAGUGACAGGUGCUGCAUGGCCGUCGUCAGCUCGUGUCGUGAGAUGUUCGGUUAAGUCCGGCAACGAGCGCAACCCACAUCCUUAGUUGCCAGCAGUUCGGCUGGGCACUCUAGGGAAACUGCCCGUGAUAAGCGGGAGGAAGGUGUGGAUGACGUCAAGUCCUCAUGGCCCUUACGGGUUGGGCUACACACGUGCUACAAUGGCAGUGACAAUGGGUUAAUCCCAAAAAACUGUCUCAGUUCGGAUUGGGGUCUGCAACUCGACCCCAUGAAGUCGGAAUCGCUAGUAAUCGCGUAACAGCAUGACGCGGUGAAUACGUUCCCGGGCCUUGUACACUCCGCCC